Molecule: ribosomal RNA, 1479 nt
Filed under: unidentified
Also listed under: 1 other name
Description: bacterial SSU rRNA
Rfam family: Bacterial small subunit ribosomal RNA
Source: RNAcentral
AGAGUUUGAUCCUGGCUCAGGAUGAACGCUGGCGGCGUGCCUAACACAUGCAAGUCGAGCGGGAAAUCUUGGAAUGAUCCUUCGGGUGAAUGAAAAGAUGGAGAGCGGCGGACGGGUGAGUAACGCGUAGGCAACCUGCCCUUUGCAGAGGGAUAGCCACUGGAAACGGUGAUUAAAACCUCAUAAUGCAGGAGAUACACAUGUAUUUCUUGUCAAAGAUUUAUCGGCAAAGGAUGGGCCUGCGUCUGAUUAGCUGGUUGGUGAGGUAACGGCUCACCAAGGCAACGAUCAGUAGCCGACCUGAGAGGGUAAUCGGCCACAUUGGAACUGAGACACGGUCCAAACUCCUACGGGAGGCAGCAGUGGGGAAUAUUGCACAAUGGGGGAAACCCUGAUGCAGCAACGCCGCGUGAAGGAAGAAGGCCUUUGGGUCGUAAACUUCUGUCCUAAGGGAAGAUAAUGACGGUACCUUUGGAGGAAGCCCCGGCUAACUACGUGCCAGCAGCCGCGGUAAUACGUAGGGGGCGAGCGUUAUCCGGAAUUAUUGGGCGUAAAGAGUGCGUAGGCGGUUUUUUAAGCGCGGGGUGAAAGGCAAUGGCUUAACCAUUGUUAGCCCUGCGAACUGGGAGACUUGAGUGCAGGAGAGGAAAGCGGAAUUCCUAGUGUAGCGGUGAAAUGCGUAGAUAUUAGGAGGAACACCAGUGGCGAAGGCGGCUUUCUGGACUGUAACUGACGCUGAGGCACGAAAGUGUGGGGAGCAAACAGGAUUAGAUACCCUGGUAGUCCACACCGUAAACGAUGAGCACUAGGUGUCGGGGUCGAAAGACUUCGGUGCCGCAGUUAACGCAUUAAGUGCUCCGCCUGGGGAGUACGCACGCAAGUGUGAAACUCAAAGGAAUUGACGGGGACCCGCACAAGCAGCGGAGCAUGUGGUUUAAUUCGAAGCAACGCGAAGAACCUUACCAGGACUUGACAUCCCUCUGAAACUCCUGAUAACGAAGGAGCCUCUUCGGACAGAGGAGACAGGUGGUGCAUGGUUGUCGUCAGCUCGUGUCGUGAGAUGUUGGGUUAAGUCCCGCAACGAGCGCAACCCUUGUCAUUAGUUGCCAUCAUUAAGUUGGGCACUCUAGUGAGACUGCCGGGGACAACUCGGAGGAAGGUGGGGAUGACGUCAAAUCAUCAUGCCCCUUAUGUUCUGGGCUACACACGUGCUACAAUGGCCGGUACAAAGAGCAGCAAGACUGUGAAGUGGAGCAAAUCUCAAAAACCGGUCCCAGUUCGGAUUGUAGGCUGCAACUCGCCUACAUGAAGUCGGAGUUGCUAGUAAUCGCGGAUCAGAAUGCCGCGGUGAAUGCGUUCCCGGGUCUUGUACACACCGCCCGUCACACCAUGGAAGUUGGGGGCGCCCGAAGUUGCCUAAGAAAUAGGGUACCUAAGGCGAAACCAAUGACUGGGGUGAAGUCGUAACAAGGUAACCAA